This is a non-coding RNA of Paramuricea clavata, 218 nucleotides long. NCBI's taxonomy places the organism in Eukaryota, Metazoa, Cnidaria, Anthozoa, Malacalcyonacea, Plexauridae. The record is from the annotation of a GenBank genome assembly.
GCGAACAUGGGUCGAACGGCAUGUAAAAUGGCUUUGGACAAACCAUCCCAUUGGUUCAACAAAAAAUAAAAUAUAACAUCAGGGAGAUAGAUGGAUGGUAUUAGAGAGAUGUUGUGAUUUUUAAUGAAACAUUGAAUAAUGACGUGACUGUGUAUUGGGGCUAUAGCAAACCUCACAGAGUCUUGGGUUGACCGUGCUUGUAAAGUAUGUUAGCGGAU